AGUGAACGCUGGCGGCGUGCUUAACACAUGCNAGUCGAACGAGAACGGGUAUUAGCUUGCUAAUACUGUCAGCUAAGUGGCGCACGGGUGAGUAAUAUAUAGUUAAUCUGCCCUAGAGAGAGGGAUAACGUUUGGAAACGGACGCUAACACCUCAUAUGCCUUUAAAACAUAAGUUUGCAAGGGAAACAUUUAUGGCUCUAGGAUGAGACUGUACGGUAUCAGCUAGUUGGUGAGGUAAUGGCUCACCAAGGCAAUGACACCUAACUGGUUUGAGAGGAUGAUCAGUCACACUGGAACUGANACACGGUCCANACUCCUACGGGAGGCAGCAGUGGGGAAUAUUGCACAAUGGACGAAAGUCUGAUGCAGCAACGCCGCGUGGAGGAUGACACUUUUCGGAGCGUAAACUCCUUUUAUAUAGGAAGAUAAUGACGGUACUAUAUGAAUAAGCACCGG
Molecule: ribosomal RNA, 457 nt
Filed under: uncultured bacterium
Lineage: Bacteria
Description: bacterial SSU rRNA
Rfam family: Bacterial small subunit ribosomal RNA
Source: RNAcentral